This 253-nucleotide ribosomal RNA is filed under the name uncultured bacterium. RNAcentral describes it as "partial 16S ribosomal RNA". It matches the Rfam family "Bacterial small subunit ribosomal RNA", at positions 524 to 776 of the family's 1533-position model. The record is from RNAcentral.
GACGAAGGGGGCUAGCGUUGUCCGGAAUCAUUGGGCGUAAAGCGCGUGUAGGCGGUCCGGUAAGUCCGCUGUGAAAGUCGGGGGCUUAACCCUCGGAUGCCGGUGGAUACUGUCGGGCUUGAGUACGGAAGAGGCGAGUGGAAUUCCUGGUGUAGCGGUGAAAUGCGCAGAUAUCAGGAGGAACACCAAUUGCGAAGGCAGCUCGCUGGGACGUUACUGACGCUGAGACGCGAAAGCGUGGGGAGCAAACAGG